AUUGAACGCUGGCGGCAGGCUUAACACAUGCAAGUCAAGCGGGGGAAGGUAGCUUGCUACCGGACCUAGCGGCGGACGGGUGAGUAAUGCUUAGGAAUCUGCCUAUUAGUGGGGGACAACAUCUCGAAAGGGAUGCUAAUACCGCAUACGUCCUACGGGAGAAAGCAGGGGAUCUUCGGACCUUGCGCUAAUAGAUGAGCCUAAGUCGGAUUAGCUAGUUGGUGGGGUAAAGGCCUACCAAGGCGACGAUCUGUAGCGGGUCUGAGAGGAUGAUCCGCCACACUGGGACUGAGACACGGCCCAGACUCCUACGGGAGGCAGCAGUGGGGAAUAUUGGACAAUGGGGGGAACCCUGAUCCAGCCAUGCCGCGUGUGUGAAGAAGGCCUUAUGGUUGUAAAGCACUUUAAGCGAGGAGGAGGCUAAUUUAGCUAAUACCUAGAGAUAGUGGACGUUACUCGCAGAAUAAGCACCGGCUAACUCUGUGCCAGCCGCCGCCGUAA
This 501-nucleotide ribosomal RNA is filed under the name uncultured bacterium. Its description in RNAcentral is "partial 16S ribosomal RNA". It matches the Rfam family "Bacterial small subunit ribosomal RNA", at positions 30 to 523 of the family's 1533-position model. The record is from RNAcentral.